This 492-nucleotide ribosomal RNA is filed under the name uncultured bacterium. RNAcentral's name for it is "partial 16S ribosomal RNA". It matches the Rfam family "Bacterial small subunit ribosomal RNA", at positions 29 to 507 of the family's 1533-position model. The record is from RNAcentral.
AGUGAACGCUGGCGGUAGGCCUAACACAUGCAAGUCGAACGGCAGCACAGUAAGAGCUUGCUCUUACGGGUGGCGAGUGGCGGACGGGUGAGGAAUACAUCGGAAUCUACUUUUUCGUGGGGGAUAACGUAGGGAAACUUACGCUAAUACCGCAUACGACCUACGGGUGAAAGCAGGGGAUCUUCGGACCUUGCGCGAUUGAAUGAGCCGAUGUCGGAUUAGCUAGUUGGCGGGGUAAAGGCCCACCAAGGCGACGAUCCGUAGCUGGUCUGAGAGGAUGAUCGGCCACACGGGAGCUGGGACACGGUCCCGACGCCUACGGGAGGCAGCAGUGGGGAAUAUUGGACAAUGGGCGCAAGCCUGAUCCAGCCAUACCGCGUGGGUGAAGAAGGCCUUCGGGUUGUAAAGCCCUUUUGUUGGGAAAGAAAAGCAGCAGGUUAAUACCCCGCUGUUCUGACGGUACCCAAAGAAUAAGCACCGGCUAACUUCGUG